UACGGAGGGUGCAAGCGUUAUCCGGAUUCACUGGGUUUAAAGGGUGCGUAGGUGGACAGGUAAGUCAGUGGUGAAAUCCCUGGGCUUAACUCGGGAACUGCCGUUGAUACUAUCUGUCUUGAAUAUCGUGGAGGUGAGCGGAAUAUGUCAUGUAGCGGUGAAAUGCUUAGAUAUGACAUAGAACACCCAUUGCGAAGGCAGCUCACUACACGAUAAUUGACACUGAGGCACGAAAGCGUGGGGAGCAAAC
Molecule: ribosomal RNA, 250 nt
Filed under: uncultured bacterium
Lineage: Bacteria
Description: partial 16S ribosomal RNA
Rfam family: Bacterial small subunit ribosomal RNA
Source: RNAcentral